This 551-nucleotide small RNA is filed under the name Pan troglodytes (chimpanzee). Its description in RNAcentral is "retained intron". Lineage: Eukaryota; Metazoa; Chordata; Mammalia; Primates; Hominidae. The record is from RNAcentral.
GAUUGUUAUAAUUGUUCUAAUGUAUUAUUAGUUAUUGUUGUUAAUCUCUUGUUGUGCCUGAUUUAUAAAUUAAACUUUAUCAUAGGUAUGUACGUAUAGGAAAAAUCAUAGUGUAUAUGUAUAUGUAUUCUGUGUAACAGAUGUUGCCAUGAACACACUGUAAGUUGUAUUUUGUUUAUUAAUAAGUAGAAUUUUGUCAAACUUCUUAAAUGAUUUUUUGUUUCUGAAUAUUAACAUGUCUAUCCACAUUUAUUUUAUAGUUGUUUUAUCACAAAAAUCAAUUGUUUUUCAAACUUUAUAUCCUUAGUGCAGGCUGUGGAAGAACAGGUGCCAUUUGUGCCAUAGAUUAUACGUGGAAUUUACUAAAAGCUGGGAAAAUACCAGAGGAAUUUAAUGUAUUUAAUUUAAUACAAGAAAUGAGAACACAAAGGCAUUCUGCAGUACAAACAAAGGAGCAAUAUGAACUUGUUCAUAGAGCUAUUGCCCAACUGUUUGAAAAACAGCUACAACUAUAUGAAAUUCAUGGAGCUCAGAAAAUUGCUGAUGGAGUG